GCCCCCGUAGCUCAGUUGGAGAGAGCAGCUGCCUUCUAAGCAGACGGUCGCAGGUUCGAGUCCUGCCGGGGGCG
RNAcentral lists this transfer RNA (74 nucleotides) under Actinomycetota bacterium. RNAcentral describes it as "tRNA-Arg". It matches the Rfam family "tRNA". From Rfam's summary of the family: Transfer RNA (tRNA) molecules are approximately 80 nucleotides in length. Their secondary structure includes four short double-helical elements and three loops (D, anti-codon, and T loops). The record is from RNAcentral. Lineage: Bacteria; Bacillati; Actinomycetota.